This 91-nucleotide small nucleolar RNA is filed under the name Myotis lucifugus (little brown bat). Its description in RNAcentral is "Small Cajal body specific RNA 11 (ENSMLUG00000027038.1)". Lineage: Eukaryota; Metazoa; Chordata; Mammalia; Chiroptera; Vespertilionidae. The record is from RNAcentral.
CUGGCUCAGAGGAGUCUAGCAAGCCACACAGAAAUCUUUUCAAUUUAGGAUGGCUGUCCUAAGAAAAGGGCUGCCUUUUACGGAGGACAAU